UACAUCAACUCAUGUCACAUGACAUGAGUUGACCAACAAUUAAAGCAGAAGACCAGCUCCGCCUGUAAUCCUCCUCCUUCAACACCACCAGUCAGGUGGAGGAAGAUAAGAGAACCCAGUUGACUAAAAAAAUUGACCAACAAUUAAAGCAGAAGACCUGCUCCACCUGCUGAUCUACUGGUUGUAACAGCUUGUGGGAAAGCAUCACUGGACCAAUCAGGCGAGAGAAGACAGAGAGGACUGAGGACUGAAACGAAAAUACUCUGCCUGCCAAAAAAGGUUUGAGGCAGACCGACCGCUGGGGAGAUGGACCUCACCUGGCACCAUUACUCUGGAUGUAACAGGAAGCUCGACUCUGCUGUCAAAACAUCAAUGACUCGAGAAGCGGACAGCGAGAUUUCUGGUGCCUGGCUGGAGACGAGAUUCUGAUUAUUCAAGAGCCAAAACAAAAUGUCAGAAUAAAUAGUUAGAAGGCAGAUUUGUUUUCUAUUUGUUGUUGUUUUUAUUAUUAAUGCUCCACGACACAAA
Long non-coding RNA from Xiphophorus maculatus (southern platyfish), 528 nucleotides. RefSeq lists it as uncharacterized. The transcript is spliced from 5 exons. The record is from RefSeq and is a predicted model, not a curated record. NCBI's taxonomy places the organism in Eukaryota, Metazoa, Chordata, Actinopteri, Cyprinodontiformes, Poeciliidae.